This is a long non-coding RNA of Nicotiana attenuata, 611 nucleotides long. RefSeq lists it as uncharacterized. The record is from RefSeq and is a predicted model, not a curated record. NCBI's taxonomy places the organism in Eukaryota, Viridiplantae, Streptophyta, Magnoliopsida, Solanales, Solanaceae. The transcript has 4 exons.
GAAGCUAUGGAUCUUCAUGACGCGUGUACUCUAUUAAGAAAACACGUGUACUUUUUUUAAUUUGAAACAUUCCUCUUUUCUCUCACUGAACCCCUUUACCAAUUUACCUAAUCCCUUUGAUUUUUCUCUGCUUCUCCUGUAUCCUCUCUCUCUCUCACACACACGUUGGAGCUUGCAGAUGAAUAUAGCAGCAUUGUUAAGUAUUUUUCUUCAAAGGCUUUAAUGUGGCUGAUCUCAUCUACUGAAAGGAUCAAACCAUAUCCAAUACUCCUACAUACAGAACCGUCUACCUCUAUCUAUCUAUGACAAUAGAAUGUUUGGUUUAGGCCUUUUCGAUUCUUUCACUCUUCGUAUAAGUGGGUUGAGUUUCUCAAACUAAAUAUUUUUUCCUUGAGUUUUACGGUGUCCUUGUGUAUUUUGUCUUUGGGUUUCUGUGCACAUGAAUCAUGAUAGGUGAAAUAUAUUCAAAAAGCUUGAAAAUGGAGGAAGAGAAGAUUUCCGAGUUCCGCUAAAUUUUCCUCUAUUCUUUCUUGUGUAGGAGAUGGAUUCAUUCACUGACUCGCCCUGCGAUUUAUGAGGUAAUGAUUUACAGGUUGAUGAUUCAGAGCGCU